This 672-nucleotide ribosomal RNA is filed under the name uncultured bacterium. RNAcentral's name for it is "bacterial SSU rRNA". It matches the Rfam family "Bacterial small subunit ribosomal RNA", at positions 23 to 693 of the family's 1533-position model. The record is from RNAcentral.
AUUUCGGUGACCGCUAGCGGGUGGCUUAACACAUGCAAGUCGAGGGGUAUAUAGUUGCUUGCAACUAUAGAGACCGGCGGAUGGGUGAGUAACGCGUAUGAAACUUACCUGUAUCAAUGGGAUAGCCCGGGGAAACCCGGAUUAAUACCAUAUAACAUAUGAACAGGCAUCUGUUUAUAUUAAAAGAUUUAUCGGAUACAGAUAGUCAUGCGUCAGAUUAGUUAGUUGGUAAGGUAACGGCUUACCAAGGCAAUGAUCUGUAGGGGGCCUGAGAGGGUGAUCCCCCACACUGGGACUGAGACACGGCCCAGACUCCUACGGGAGGCAGCAGUGAGGAAUAUUGGUCAAUGGGCGAGAGCCUGAACCAGCCAUCCCGCGUGAAGGAAGACUGCCCUAUGGGUUGUAAACUUCUUUUCUGUUCCAAGAACGUGCCCUACGUGUAGGGUAGUGACGGUAGAACAGGAAUAAGCAUCGGCUAACUCCGUGCCAGCAGCCGCGGUAAUACGGAGGAUGCGAGCGUUAUCCGGAUUCAUUGGGUUUAAAGGGUGCGUAGGCGGCUUCUUAAGUCAGUGGUGAAAUCCUGCGGCUCAACCGUAGAACUGCCAUUGAAACUGGGGAGCUUGAAUACAGAUGAGGUAGGCGGAAUGAGUAGUGAACCGGUGAAAUGCAUAG